CAGGAUGGUAACACUUUUAAGAUAACUUGAGAUAUGCCAGGAGCAACGUGUGCUGUUGCAAAUUGUGAUAACAGCCAUUGUAAAACAAAGUCAUUAGACAGGAAAGUCAGUUAUUUUAGAUUUCCUAAAGAUCCAAUAAUAAGAAGAAAAUGGAUCCAUAACUGUAAAAGAAAAGACAAAUUUAAUCCUGAUUCUUGUCAUGUUUGCUCUGAUCAUUUCACAGAAAAUGAUUUUGAGAGAAAUUUAAAAGCUGAAUUAUUAGGUUUAUUG
Long non-coding RNA from Centruroides sculpturatus (bark scorpion), 270 nucleotides. RefSeq lists it as uncharacterized. The record is from RefSeq and is a predicted model, not a curated record. The transcript has 2 exons. NCBI's taxonomy places the organism in Eukaryota, Metazoa, Arthropoda, Arachnida, Scorpiones, Buthidae.